This 85-nucleotide ribosomal RNA is filed under the name Prolemur simus (greater bamboo lemur). The record is from RNAcentral. Lineage: Eukaryota; Metazoa; Chordata; Mammalia; Primates; Lemuridae.
AUCUACGGCCAUACCACCCUGAACGUGCCUGAUCUCGUCUGAUCUCGGAAGCUAAGCAGGGUCGGGCCUGGUUAGCGCUUGGAUA